ACCUACUUGACUCAGCAGUUAGAGUAUCGCUUUCAUACAGCGAGAGUCAUUGGUUCAAAUCCAAUAGUAGGUA
Molecule: non-coding RNA, 73 nt
Organism: Triticum aestivum (bread wheat)
Lineage: Eukaryota; Viridiplantae; Streptophyta; Magnoliopsida; Poales; Poaceae
Source: Rfam